Molecule: ribosomal RNA, 500 nt
Filed under: uncultured bacterium
Lineage: Bacteria
Description: partial 16S ribosomal RNA
Rfam family: Bacterial small subunit ribosomal RNA
Source: RNAcentral
AUUGAGCGCUGGCGGCAUGCCUUACACAUGCAAGUCGAACGGCAGCACGGGAGCAAUCCUGGUGGCGAGUGGCGAACGGGUGAGUAAAGUAUCGGAACGUGCCCAGUCGUGGGGGAUAACGUAGCGAAAGUUACGCCAAUGCCGCAUCCGAUCUACGGAUGAAAGCGGGGGAUCGAAAGACCUCGCGCGAUUGGAGAGGCCGAUAUUAGAUUAGGUAGUUGGUGGGGUAAAGGCUCACCAAGCCGACGAUCUGUAGCUGGUCUGAGAGGACGACCAGCCACACUGGGACUGAGACACGGCCCAGACUCCUACGGGAGGCAGCAGUGGGGAAUUUUGGACAAUGGGCGCAAGCCUGAUCCAGCCAUACCGCGUGCAGGAUGAAGGCCUUCGGGUUGUAAACCGCUUUUGUACGGAACGAAAAGGUUUGGCCUAAUAAGCUGAGCUCAUGACGGUACCGUAAGAAUAAGCACCGGCUAACUACGUGCCAGCCGCCGCAGUAA